This 439-nucleotide ribosomal RNA is filed under the name uncultured bacterium. RNAcentral's name for it is "partial 16S ribosomal RNA". It matches the Rfam family "Bacterial small subunit ribosomal RNA", at positions 339 to 795 of the family's 1533-position model. The record is from RNAcentral.
CUACGGGUGGCACCAGUGAGGAAUAUCGCACAAUGGGGGGAACCCUGAUGCAGCAACGCCGCGUGGAGGAUGACGCAUUUCGGUGUGUAAACUCCUUUUAUAUGUCAAGAAAAUGACGGUAGCAUAUGAAUAAGCACCGGCUAACUCCGUGCCAGCAGCCGCGGUAAUACGGAGGGUGCAAGCGUUACUCGGAAUCACUGGGCGUAAAGGACGCGUAGGCGGGUUGGAAAGUCAGGUGUGAAAUCCUACAGCUUAACUGUAGAACUGCACUUGAAACUUCUAAUCUAGAGUAUGGGAGGGGGAGAUGGAAUUAGUGGUGUAGGGGUAAAAUCCGUAGAUAUCACUAGGAAUACCUAAAGCGAAGGCGAUCUCCUGGAACAUUACUGACGCUAAGGCGUGAAAGCGUGGGGAGCAAACAGGAUUAGAUACCCUCGUAGUC